This 359-nucleotide ribosomal RNA is filed under the name uncultured eukaryote. Its description in RNAcentral is "SSU rRNA". It matches the Rfam family "Eukaryotic small subunit ribosomal RNA", at positions 587 to 972 of the family's 1831-position model. The record is from RNAcentral.
AGCUCUGUAAGCGUAUACCAAAGUUGUUGCAGUUAAAACGCUCGUAGUCGGAACUUGGCGGACAAUUUGCUUCGUCCUCACGGAUGGUAGCAAAUUGGCCGCCUUUGUGGAGGGUGACCUACUGGUUCUUUACUGAAUCGUUAGGUUGCUGCCACCAUUUACUGUGAAAAAAUUAGAGUGUUCAAAGCAGGCGUUUGCCGUGAAUAGAUUAGCACCUGGUUUCUAUUUUGUUGGUUUGUUAGAAUCGGGUAAUGAUUAAGAGGGAUGGUUGGGGGCAUUUGUAUUCCAGCGUCAGAGGUGAAAUUCUUGGAUUGUUGGAAGACAAACAGCUGCGAAAGCGUCUGCCAAGGACAUUUUCA